Molecule: transfer-messenger RNA, 212 nt
Filed under: Alphaproteobacteria bacterium
Lineage: Bacteria; Pseudomonadati; Pseudomonadota; Alphaproteobacteria
Rfam family: Alphaproteobacteria transfer-messenger RNA
About the family: Bacterial tmRNA, also known as 10Sa RNA or SsrA, is named for its dual tRNA and mRNA-like properties. Its role is to liberate the mRNA from a stalled ribosome. To accomplish this part of the tmRNA is used as a reading frame that ends in a translation stop signal.
Source: RNAcentral
GCCGGUUCGCCGGCUAUGGCGAUAAACGUGCUGUGAAAUAGGCAGAGCGGACCCGGGGGCGGUACCCGGCGCCUCCACCAUUUUAGCCGUGACCCGGAUGGGGUGAUAAUAACAGUUAUCCGGUCGGGCGGCUGAAAGCGUGGGGGCGAAAUAGGAUCGACGCAUGUAGUAAAGGCAGUAUUUUCGCCCGGUAUGGUACCCGCCGUUAUCGG